GAUGAACGCUGGCGGCGUGCCUAAUACAUGCAAGUAGAACGCUGAAGGAGGAGCUUGCUCUUCUGGAUGAGUUGCGAACGGGUGAGUAACGCGUAGGUAACCUGCCUGGUAGCGGGGGAUAACUAUUGGAAACGAUAGCUAAUACCGCAUGACAACAGUUAUUGCAUGAUAACUGUUUAAAAGGGGCAACUGCUCCACUACCAGAUGGACCUGCGUUGGAUUAGCUAGUUGGUGAGGUAACGGCUCACCAAGGCGACGAUACAUAGCCGACCUGAGAGGGUGAUCGGCCACACUGGGACUGGGACACGGCCCAGGCUCCUACGGGGGGCAGCAGUAGGGAAUCUUCGGCAAUGGACGGAAGUCUGACCGAGCAACGCCGCGUGAGUGGAGAAGGUUUUCGGAUCGUAAAGCUCUGUUGUAAGAGAAGAACGAGUGUGAGAGUGGAAAGUUCACACUGUGACGGUAUCUUACCAGAAAGGGACGGCUAACUACGUG
RNAcentral lists this ribosomal RNA (495 nucleotides) under uncultured bacterium. Its description in RNAcentral is "partial 16S ribosomal RNA". It matches the Rfam family "Bacterial small subunit ribosomal RNA", at positions 28 to 507 of the family's 1533-position model. The record is from RNAcentral.